RNAcentral lists this ribosomal RNA (669 nucleotides) under uncultured archaeon. RNAcentral's name for it is "bacterial SSU rRNA". It matches the Rfam family "Archaeal small subunit ribosomal RNA", at positions 197 to 868 of the family's 1478-position model. The record is from RNAcentral.
CAUGGCCCCUGGAUUGGACUGCGGCCGAUCAGGCUGUUGGUGAGGUAAUGGCCCACCAAACCUGUAACCGGUACGGGCUCUGAGAGGAGGAGCCCGGAGAUGGGCACUGAGACAAGGGCCCAGGCCCUAUGGGGCGCAGCAGGCGCGAAACCUCUGCAAUAGGCGAAAGCUUGACAGGGUUACUCUGAGUGAUUUCCGUUAAGGAGAUCUUUUGGCACCUCUAAAAAUGGUGCAGAAUAAGGGGUGGGCAAGUCUGGUGUCAGCCGCCGCGGUAAUACCAGCACCCCGAGUGGUCGGGACGUUUAUUGGGCCUAAAGCAUCCGUAGCCGGUUCUACAAGUCUUCCGUUAAAUCCACCUGCUUAACAGAUGGGCUGCGGAAGAUACUAUAGAGCUAGGAGGCGGGAGAGGCAAGCGGUACUCGAUGGGUAGGGGUAAAAUCCGUUGAUCCAUUGAAGACCACCAGUGGCGAAGGCGGCUUGCCAGAACGCGCUCGACGGUGAGGGAUGAAAGCUGGGGGAGCAAACCGGAUUAGAUACCCGGGUAGUCCCAGCUGUAAACGAUGCAGACUCGGUGAUGAGUUGGCUUAUUGCUAACUCAGUGCCGCAGGGAAGCCGUUAAGUUUGCCGCCUGGGGAGUACGGUCGCAAGACUGAAACUUAAAGGAAUUGG